UGCGGUGCUCUUCACUGAGUNCNNCUUGCGGCCGGNANNNUNUACUUUGAGAAAAUUGGAGUGUUCAAAGCAGGCACAACCGCCUGAACAGCUCAGCAUGGAAUAAUGGAAGAGGACCUCGGGUCUAUUUCGUUNGUCUCUAGACAAGAGGUAAUGAUCAAAAGGGACAGACGGGGGCAUUCGUACUGCGGUGUGAGAGGUGAAAUUCUUGGAUCGCCGCAAGACGCCCAAAAGCGAAAGCAUUUGCCAAGAAUGUCUUCAUUGAUCAAGAACGAAAGUUGAGGGUUCGAAGGCGAUCAGAUACCGCNCUAGUCUUAACCAUAAACGAUGCCAACUUGCCNACCCGCCGUAGUUCCUCCCAUGACACGGCGNNGAGCACCCGGGAAACCAAAGUGUUUGG
This 400-nucleotide ribosomal RNA is filed under the name Leptosynapta inhaerens. Its description in RNAcentral is "partial 18S ribosomal RNA". It matches the Rfam family "Eukaryotic small subunit ribosomal RNA", at positions 711 to 1110 of the family's 1831-position model. Lineage: Eukaryota; Metazoa; Echinodermata; Holothuroidea; Apodida; Synaptidae. The record is from RNAcentral.